GAUUAAAGGACCACGUCAGUGUUUUUCAAUGUUUUAGCCAUUUAACAAGAAAUCACACAAACAAAAUACAAACUGCUGCUCAUUUUCCAGAAUAUGCUGUCGUGUUUUUAAAUGUGUUUUUUUAAUAUCUUUUAAGCAGCCGCUGGUUUCGGUUCAUUUGCUAGUUUCUAAACUCUACAAGCAGAUUUUCAUGUUGCUCUGAAGUGAACUGAAGUCGAAGGAGAAACAUUAGAACAACUGAAGCGUAAUCUUUGGCGAUGAAACAAAGGAUGUGGCGUAGGCGUUGACGACAGGACGUGAUGUAGGCGACGCAAACAGGAUGUAGGUGAUGACGACAGGACGUGAUGUAGGCGACGCUGACAGGAUGUAGGUGAUGACGACAGGACGUAGGCGAUGACGACAGGACGUAGGCGAUGACGACAGGACGUGAUGUAGGUGACGCUGACAGGACGUAGGCGAUGACGACAGGACGUGAUGUAGGCGACGCUGACAGGACGUAGGCGAUGACGACAGGACGUGAUGUAGGCGACACUGACAGGAUGUAGGUGAUGACGACAGGACGUAGGCGAUGACGACAGGACGUAGGCGAUGACGACGUGAUGUAGGCGACGCUGACAGGACGUAGGCGAUGACGACAGGACGUAGGCGAUGACCACAGGACGUAGGCGAUGACGACAGGACGUAGGCGAUGACGACAGGACGUAGGCGAUGACGACAGGACGUGAUGUAGGCGACGAUGACAGGACGUAGGCGAUGAUGUCAGGAUGUGAUGUAGGUGACGCUGACAGGACGUAGGCGAUGACAACAGGACGUGAUGUAGGCGACGCUGACAGGACGUAGGCGAUGACAACAGGACGUGAUGUAGGCGACGCUGAUAGGACGUAGGCGAUGACGACAGGACGUGAUGUAGGCGACGCUGAUAGGACGUAGGCGAUGACGUCAGGAUGUGAUGUAGGCAACGCUGACAGGACGUAGGCGAUGACAACAGGACGUGAUGUAGGUGACGCUGACAGGACGUAGGCGAUGACGUCAGGACGUGAUGUAGGCGACGAUGACAGGACGUAGGCGAUGACGUCAGGAUGUGAUGUAGGCGAUGCUGACAGGACGUAGGCGAUGAUGACAGGACGUGAUGUAGGCUACGCUGACAGGACGUAGGCGAUGACAACAGGACGUGAUGUAGGUGACGCUGACAGGACGUAGGCGAUGACAACAGGAUGUGAUGUAGGCGACGCUGACAGGACGUAGGCGAUGAUGACAGGACGUGAUGUAGGUGACGCUGACAGGACGUAGGCGAUGACGACAGGACGUGAUGUAGGCGACGCUGACAGGACGUAGGCGAUGACAACAGGACGUGAUGUAGGCGAUGACGACAGGACGUGAUGUAGGCGACGCUGACAGGACGUAGGCGAUGACAACAGGACGUGAUGUA
Molecule: long non-coding RNA, 1429 nt
Organism: Sebastes umbrosus (honeycomb rockfish)
Lineage: Eukaryota; Metazoa; Chordata; Actinopteri; Perciformes; Sebastidae
Exons: 2
Source: RefSeq, a predicted model, not a curated record